CCUACGGGGCGCAGCAGUGGGGAAUAUUGGACAAUGGGCGAAAGCCUGAUCCAGCCAUGCCGCGUGUGUGAAGAAGGCCUUCGGGUUGUAAAGCACUUUCAGUGGGGAAGAAAGCCUUGGGGCUAAUACCCUCGAGGAAGGACAUCACCCACAGAAGAAGCACCGGCUAACUCCGUGCCAGCAGCCGCGGUAAUACGGAGGGUGCGAGCGUUAAUCGGAAUUACUGGGCGUAAAGCGCGCGUAGGCGGUCUGAUAAGCCGGUUGUGAAAGCCCCGGGCUCAACCUGGGAACGGCAUCCGGAACUGUCAGGCUAGAGUGCAGGAGAGGAAGGUAGAAGUCCCGGUGUAGCGGUGAAAUGCGUAGAGAUCGGGAGGAAUACCAGUGGCGAAGGCGGCCUUCUGGACUGACACUGACGCUGAGGUGCGAAAGCGUGGGUAGCAAACAGGAUUAGAUACCCCAGUAGUC
RNAcentral lists this ribosomal RNA (465 nucleotides) under Vreelandella stevensii. Its description in RNAcentral is "partial 16S ribosomal RNA". It matches the Rfam family "Bacterial small subunit ribosomal RNA", at positions 338 to 795 of the family's 1533-position model. The record is from RNAcentral. Lineage: Bacteria; Pseudomonadati; Pseudomonadota; Gammaproteobacteria; Oceanospirillales; Halomonadaceae.